UCUGGGGAAAAGGAGCCCUGACGUUUUCAACAGAGAAAGUAAAAUGAUUAGGACCGUGAGAUAAUAAACCUUCUUUCAGCUCCUACUUUCAGAUGAGAGGCUGGUCACAGAGGCUGGGGGCAGUCUGUUAAGGGUGAGGUGACCAGUUUGGUGGGGGGUGGGCAUUUAAGGAUGAGGAUCAAAUGAUUUUGGCAGUCAGUGACAAACAAUAACGAUCCUUUCAACAUGAACUGCCGCCGCCCUCCCCCCACCCCCGCAUCAUGUCCACCUCAAAGAAACAGUGGACAGGGUGUACUUUCCAAAAUACUGCCAUUUAAUGCUGAAAAACACAAAUGCUAGAGGCCCAGAGCAGCCCAUGUGACUGGAUCGCCUGCAACCUGCCUUGGGCCCCAGAAGAACCCUGCAAGGUCAGGCUCCUCCCUGCUCUGCCUGCAGAGCUUCCUUAUCGGCCUGAGUUGGAGCUGCUGACUCUGCUCCAAGAGCAAGAUUUCUGCUUUGAAAGCAAAUGCAGCAGCCUGAGAAAUGGGCAGUACAUACCUUACAUACCCCUCUCCCGGCCCCUGGUGUACAGAGCUGGAGUAAAGGUGUUUCUAGAUCAAUCUGCACAGCUCCUGACCUCUUCCCAGGCCUGAGGUCAGGGCUCGGGAAGACCUGUGACCUUGGCUACACAGAAACUCCUUGUGGGCCCUUUCCCCACCCAGAUCUUACCGGAGAGACAUUGUUUUGCAUACAAUGCAUUGAUUUACCCGGAAAUGGAUGACCUCUUACUCCCUAACCAGGGUCAGAGAGAAGGGAGAUAAAGCAGUUUGGGCUCUAAGGUCAGUCAGUUGGUCUGUCUGUCUGAGAAGAAAAGGAAUGAGGGAGGUCAGGGAUGAGGCAGCACUUGGGUUUGGGGGUUACACAACGGCCUGAGGUUUGCUCACUUCUGCCUCCUGCCUAUGCCAGGAUCAGAGUUUUCUCUGCUUUCUCUUUAUUGGGCUCUUUUGUCCAGCAGAAGCACUAGAGUUGCUUGAAGAAGUAGCCUGUGGGCUGCAUACCUGCCAAAGGGUUGGGACCAGAAUAACCUUUUCCUGUCUAUAAAUUUAGGUGUCUGGAGACACAGAUGGAAAGGUAGAAAGAUAAAGCCAGCGAUUCAGGGAGGAGAGGCUCCUCUGGGAUCUGAGGUUCAGGAACCAGGUGUUUCCAGGUGCUUUCAUGUAUUUGUGGGCUGGAGGAAAAGGGGUACACCUCCCAGAAGGGGGGCCAGUGAGCCCAGAGGUAGCCAAACAGAUAGACCUAAUCUCUGCUACUCCUCUCCGAUCUCCCCACAGGGAGCCAGGUCCCUGGCCUAAUCUCCACAUCUCUUAUCUUCCAGAGGCUUUGGUCUGACUCCCAGCACAAGGGCUGUGUUUUAUUGGGGAAGAUUGCUCUCUGGGGAGCUGGAGGAAAUGAAGGCCUGGG
Molecule: long non-coding RNA, 1440 nt
Filed under: Capra hircus (goat)
Lineage: Eukaryota; Metazoa; Chordata; Mammalia; Artiodactyla; Bovidae
Description: lncRNA (ENSCHIG00010028354.1)
Source: RNAcentral